GACGAACGCUGGCGGCGUGCCUAAUACAUGCAAGUAGAACGCUGAAGCUAGGAGCUUGCACCGCGUGGAUGAGUUGCGAACGGGUGAGUAACGCGUAGGUAACCUGCCUGGUAGCGGGGGAUAACUAUUGGAAACGAUAGCUAAUACCGCAUAACAGUGGAUGUUACAUGUCAUUUACUUAAAAGGUGCAAUUGCUCCACUACAAGAUGGACCUGCGUUGUAUUAGCUAGUUGGUGAGGUAAUGGCUCACCAAGGCGACGAUACAUAGCCGACCUGAGAGGGGGAUCGGCCACACUGGGACUGAGACACGGCCCAGACUCCUACGGGAGGCAGCAGUAGGGAAUCUUCGGCAAUGGGCGCAAGUCUGACCGAGCAACGCCGCGUGAGUGAAGAAGGUUUUCGGAUCGUAAAGCUCUGUUGUAAGUGAAGAACGGGUGUGAGAGUGGAAAGUUCACACUGUGACGGUAUCUUACCAGAAAGGGACGGCUAACUACGUG
Molecule: ribosomal RNA, 497 nt
Filed under: uncultured bacterium
Lineage: Bacteria
Description: partial 16S ribosomal RNA
Rfam family: Bacterial small subunit ribosomal RNA
Source: RNAcentral